AGCGAACGCUGGCGGCAGGCCUAACACAUGCAAGUCGAACGAACCUUUCGGGGUUAGUGGCGGACGGGUGAGUAACACGUGGGAACGUGCCUUUAUGUUCGGAAUAACUCAGGGAAACUUGUGCUAAUACCUAAUGUGCCCUCCGGGGGAAAGAUUUAUCGCCUUUAGAGCGGCCCGUGUCUGUUUAGCUAGUUGGUUGAGGUAAUGGCUCACCCAGGCGACGAUCAGUAGCUGGUCUGAGAGGAUGAUCAGCCACAUUGGGACUGAGACACGGCCCAAACUCCUACGGGAAGCAGCAGGGGGGAAUCUAGCGCAAUGGGCGAAAGCCUGACGCAGCCAUGGCGGGUGAAUGAUGAAGGUCUUAGGAUCGUAAAAUUCUUUCACCGGGGACGAUAGUGACGGUACCCGGAGAAGAAGCCCCGGCUAACUACGUG
RNAcentral lists this ribosomal RNA (434 nucleotides) under uncultured bacterium. RNAcentral describes it as "partial 16S ribosomal RNA". It matches the Rfam family "Bacterial small subunit ribosomal RNA", at positions 29 to 507 of the family's 1533-position model. The record is from RNAcentral.